AAAGGGUAGGGGCCGGGCGCGGUGGCUCGCGCAUGUAAUCCCAGCACUUUGGGAGGCUGAGGCGGGCAGAUCUCGAGGUCAGGAGAUCGAGACCAUCCUGGCUAACACGCUCCCCAGAGGAUUGCUUGCAUUUCAGCAUUUGGGAAUCCAUGAUCUAGGGCCCCUGGACAGGGAAAGUAGGAAUGGCUGGAAGAAGCCGAUGGGAACCUCGAUUGCCAGUCUCCCCCCAUAUAACAGCCCUUCUGCGGGCACUCAGAGAGCAGAGCAACCUGCAAGAUCACUUGCUGGAGCUGAAUUAUGAUUAAGAGAGAGAGAAUGGCACUUCUUUUUAAGAAAUUCCUCCUUAGGAACUUCUUAAAGUAAAAGGAAAUCAAAGAGCUCUUUGGAAUGGGACUGCCUCUUCACAGACCUGCUUGCAAAUACAGAGCUGAGCACUCCACCCUGCAGCCAGGGAAACUGCCGGUGACACUCAGUCGGCAAGUCAGUGAGAAACAGCCAAGUCCCCUCCCAAGCACAAGGCCGGACUGGCAGACUACAGAGAUGCGUAGGAGGCCGGACAGGAAGAUUCUUCACCUCUACCAAAAAAAAAAGAAAUGGUCACUCCUAGUUUUCUUGAAAGAAGCUACCCUUCUCCUGACUAUAAUUUAGUUUCUUGCUUUAGAGACACGAAUAUGGAUAUUCUUCUAUUAUAAAAUAUAAUAAUAAUAAUAGUGUCAAUGUA
This is a long non-coding RNA of Pan troglodytes (chimpanzee), 721 nucleotides long. RefSeq lists it as uncharacterized. The record is from RefSeq and is a predicted model, not a curated record. The transcript has 3 exons. Lineage: Eukaryota; Metazoa; Chordata; Mammalia; Primates; Hominidae.